AGUGAACGCUGGCGGUAGGCCUAACACAUGCAAGUCGAACGGCAGCACAGUAAGAGCUUGCUCUUACGGGUGGCGAGUGGCGGACGGGUGAGGAAUACAUCGGAAUCUACUUUUUCGUGGGGGAUAACGUAGGGAAACUUACGCUAAUACUGCAUACGACCUACGGGUGAAAGCAGGGGAUCUUCGGACCUUGCGCGAUUGAAUGAGCCGAUGUCGGAUUAGCUAGUUGGCGGGGUAAAGGCCCACCAAGGCGACGAUCCGUAGCUGGUCUGAGAGGAUGAUCAGCCACACUGGAACUGAGACACGGUCCAGACUCCUACGGGAGGCAGCAGUGGGGAAUAUUGGACAAUGGGCGCAAGCCUGAUCCAGCCAUGCCGCGUGGGUGAAGAAGGCCUUCGGGUUGUAAAGCCCUUUUGUUGGGAAAGAAAAGCAGCAGGUUAAUACCCCGCUGUUCUGACGGUACCCAAAGAAUAAGCACCGGCUAACUUCGUG
RNAcentral lists this ribosomal RNA (492 nucleotides) under uncultured bacterium. RNAcentral's name for it is "partial 16S ribosomal RNA". It matches the Rfam family "Bacterial small subunit ribosomal RNA", at positions 29 to 507 of the family's 1533-position model. The record is from RNAcentral.